AAAUUGAAGAGUUUGAUCAUGGCUCAGAUUGAACGCUGGCGGCAGGCCUAACACAUGCAAGUCGAACGGUAGCACAGAGAGCUUGCUCUCGGGUGACGAGUGGCGGACGGGUGAGUAAUGUCUGGGAAACUGCCUGAUGGAGGGGGAUAACUACUGGAAACGGUGGCUAAUACCGCAUAAUGUCGCAAGACCAAAGAGGGGGACCUUCGGGCCUCUUGCCAUCAGAUGUGCCCAGAUGGGAUUAGCUAGUUGGUGAGGUAACGGCUCACCAAGGCGACGAUCCCUAGCUGGUCUGAGAGGAUGA
Molecule: ribosomal RNA, 304 nt
Filed under: Salmonella enterica subsp. enterica serovar Uganda
Lineage: Bacteria; Pseudomonadati; Pseudomonadota; Gammaproteobacteria; Enterobacterales; Enterobacteriaceae
Description: partial 16S ribosomal RNA
Rfam family: Bacterial small subunit ribosomal RNA
Source: RNAcentral